GACGUAGGGCGCAAGCGUUGUCCGGAUUUAUUGGGCGUAAAGAGUUCGUAGGCGGUUUGUCGCGUCGUUCGUGAAAACUUGGGGCUUAACUCCAAGCGUGCGGGCGAUACGGGCAGACUUGAGUACUACAGGGGAGACUGGAAUUCCUGGUGUAGCGGUGAAAUGCGCAGAUAUCAGGAGGAACACCGAUGGCGAAGGCAGGUCUCUGGGCAUUAACUGACGCUGAGGAGCGAAAGCAUGGGGAGCGAACAGG
RNAcentral lists this ribosomal RNA (253 nucleotides) under uncultured bacterium. RNAcentral's name for it is "partial 16S ribosomal RNA". It matches the Rfam family "Bacterial small subunit ribosomal RNA", at positions 524 to 776 of the family's 1533-position model. The record is from RNAcentral.